This 210-nucleotide unclassified non-coding RNA is filed under the name soil metagenome. RNAcentral describes it as "partial contains 5.8S ribosomal RNA, internal transcribed spacer 2, and large subunit ribosomal RNA". The record is from RNAcentral.
AACCUAGCACACCUGCGGUGUGUACCUGCGGAAGGAUCAUUACCGAGUUUACAACUCCCAAACCCCUGUGAACAUACCUAUACGUUGCCUCGGCGGAUCAGCCCGCGCCCCGUAAAAAGGGACGGCCCGCCCGAGGACCCCUAAACUCUGUUUUUAGUGGAACUUCUGAGUAAAACAAACAAAUAAAUCAAAACUUUCAGCAAUGGAUCU